UUAUAAACAAUGUUAUAAUAUACUUAUAUAAUAAAAUUCAUUAUUAUAGUAUUCUUAUAUAUUAAUAAUUAUUACAUUAUUAAUUCCCCUUUUUAAUUUUUCAAAAGACUACUUAAUGGGCAACUAGGAAUUUUACCUCAUUUCACA
This 147-nucleotide microRNA precursor is filed under the name Mus pahari (shrew mouse). RNAcentral describes it as "miRNA (MGP_PahariEiJ_G0007425.1)". The record is from RNAcentral. Lineage: Eukaryota; Metazoa; Chordata; Mammalia; Rodentia; Muridae.